CAGUAGCCGCGGGAAUACAGAGGGGGCUAGCGUUGUUCGGAAUUACUGGGCGUAAAGCGCACGUAGGCGGCUUGGUAAGUUAGAGGUGAAAGCCUGGAGCUCAACUCCAGAAUUGCCUUUAAGACUGCCGAGCUAGCAGGUGAGAGAGGUAAGUGGAAUUCCGAGUGUAGAGGUGAAAUUCGUAGAUAUUCGGAAGAACACCAGUGGCGAAGGCGGCUUACUGGCUCAUACUGGACGCUGAGGUGCGAAAGCGUGGGGAGCAAACAGGAUUAGAUACCCCAGUAGUCCCUGUCUCUUAUAC
This 301-nucleotide ribosomal RNA is filed under the name uncultured bacterium. Its description in RNAcentral is "partial 16S ribosomal RNA". It matches the Rfam family "Bacterial small subunit ribosomal RNA", at positions 509 to 807 of the family's 1533-position model. The record is from RNAcentral.